RNAcentral lists this ribosomal RNA (253 nucleotides) under uncultured bacterium. Its description in RNAcentral is "partial 16S ribosomal RNA". It matches the Rfam family "Bacterial small subunit ribosomal RNA", at positions 524 to 776 of the family's 1533-position model. The record is from RNAcentral.
UACAGAGGGGGCCAGCGUUAUUCGGAAUUAUUGGGCGUAAAGGGCGCGUAGGCGGCCAUGCGUGUCUUCCGUGAAAUCCCUCGGCUUAACCGAGGACGUGCGGAAGAAACUGCAAGGCUCGAGUCCGGAAGAGGGGGGCGGAAUUCCCAGUGUAGCGGUGAAAUGCGUAGAUAUUGGGAGGAACACCAGUGGCGAAGGCGGUCCCCUGGGCCGGAACUGACGCUGAGGCGCGAAAGCGUGGGGAGCGAACAGG